AGCACAGAGGAGCUUGCUCCUUGGGUGACGAGUGGCGGACGGGUGAGUAAUGUCUGGGAAACUGCCCGAUGGAGGGGGAUAACUACUGGAAACGGUAGCUAAUACCGCAUAACGUCGCAAGACCAAAGAGGGGGACCUUCGGGCCUCUUGCCAUCGGAUGUGCCCAGAUGGGAUUAGCUAGUAGGUGGGGUAACGGCUCACCUAGGCGACGAUCCCUAGCUGGUCUGAGAGGAUGACCAGCCACACUGGAACUGAGACACGGUCCAGACUCCUACGGGAGGCAGCAGUGGGGAAUAUUGCACAAUGGGCGCAAGCCUGAUGCAGCCAUGCCGCGUGUAUGAAGAAGGCCUUCGGGUUGUAAAGUACUUUCAGCGAGGAGGAAGGGGAUGUGGUUAAUAACCGCAUUCAUUGACGUUACUCGCAGAAGAAGCACCGGCUAACUCCGUGCCAGCAGCCGCGGUAAUACGGAGGGUGCAAGCGUUAAUCGGAAUUACUGGGCGUAAAGCGCACGCAGGCGGUCUGUCAAGUCGGAUGUGAAAUCCCCGGGCUCAACCUGGGAACUGCAUCCGA
This 570-nucleotide ribosomal RNA is filed under the name bacterium RBM-B2. Its description in RNAcentral is "bacterial SSU rRNA". It matches the Rfam family "Bacterial small subunit ribosomal RNA", at positions 68 to 630 of the family's 1533-position model. The record is from RNAcentral.